Molecule: unclassified non-coding RNA, 513 nt
Filed under: Hevea brasiliensis (rubber tree)
Lineage: Eukaryota; Viridiplantae; Streptophyta; Magnoliopsida; Malpighiales; Euphorbiaceae
Source: RNAcentral
GGCUGGCAAGAUAUAAACAAUGAUGAUGCGGAUGGAUUGGAUCCUGUUGAUCAGACAAGUAAGGCAGAGUCCAGAACAUUCAGAAGGGAGUUGUGUUCUCGUAUUGAAGAGCGAGCAGUCAAUGACCUACCCUUUAUAAGGGGCAGGGGUAGAUAUGCUCAGGAUCCUCAUGCUAGAAGUCAAGGAGAUGAUCGUUUGGUUGAUUCUCAAGCCUGCAGUAGGGGCAUAAAGCACCAUCAUUUGUCCAAGUACCAUGUCCCAUUUUCUUUUCAUCACCUCGGGUCAGCAAAAGGCUUGCACCAACGUGUUAGAAGAAGCGGAUCACCAGACGCUAGAGAUAAGACUCUUGGUAUGCAUCGGCAUAUUAGACCAUUGAGGAACCUUAGUCCUGGUCGGCGUGUGACCCUUGGCAGGGGCAGGGCUAUGAGAUAUGGUCUGCAACUCGAAGGUAGAGGCCCCAGGGGUAGAUACCAUGGUUUUGAAGUUGAUGAUUGCUGCCAUUCUUCUGUGACA